RNAcentral lists this ribosomal RNA (253 nucleotides) under uncultured bacterium. RNAcentral describes it as "partial 16S ribosomal RNA". It matches the Rfam family "Bacterial small subunit ribosomal RNA", at positions 524 to 776 of the family's 1533-position model. The record is from RNAcentral.
CACGUAGGGGCCAAGCGUUGUCCGGAAUUACUGGGCGUAAAGAGCUCGUAGGUGGUUUGUCGCGUUGUUCGUGAAAACCGGGGGCUUAACCCUCGGCGUGCGGGCGAUACGGGCAGACUUGAGUACUGCAGGGGAGACUGGAAUUCCUGGUGUAGCGGUGGAAUGCGCAGAUAUCAGGAGGAACACCGGUGGCGAAGGCGGGUCUCUGGGCAGUAACUGACGCUGAGGAGCGAAAGCGUGGGGAGCGAACAGG